GCUUACGGCCAUACCACCCUGAACGCGCCCGAUCUCGUCUGAUCUCGGAAGCCAAGCAGGGUCGGGCCUGGUCAGUACUUGGACGGGAGACCGCCUGGGAAACCAGGUGCUGUAAGCU
RNAcentral lists this ribosomal RNA (118 nucleotides) under Oreochromis niloticus (Nile tilapia). The record is from RNAcentral. Lineage: Eukaryota; Metazoa; Chordata; Actinopteri; Cichliformes; Cichlidae.